CGGCACGGGGGCAACCCUGGUGGCGAGUGGCGAACGGGUGAGUAAUGCAUCGGAACGUACCGUGUAAUGGGGGACAACGAGUCGAAAGAUUCGCUAAUACCGCAUACGCCCUUUGGGGGAAAGUGGGGGAUCGCAAGACCUCACGUUAUACGAGCGGCCGAUGCCGGAUUAGCUAGUUGGUGGGGUAAAGGCUCACCAAGGCGACGAUCCGUAGCUGGUCUGAGAGGACGACCAGCCACACUGGGACUGAGACACGGCCCAGACUCCUACGGGAGGCAGCAGUGGGGAAUUUUGGACAAUGGGGGCAACCCUGAUCCAGCCAUGCCGCGUGAGUGAAGAAGGCCUUCGGGUUGUAAAGCUCUUUCGGCCGGGACGAAAUCGCUACUUCUAAUAAAGGUAGUGGAUGACGGUACCGGAAUAAGAAGCACCGGCUAACUACGUGCCAGCAGCCGCGGUAAUACGUAGGGUGCGAGCGUUAAUCGGAAUUACUGGGCGUAAAGCGUGCGCAGGCGGUUUUGUAAGCCAGAUGUGAAAUCCCCGGGCUUAAUCUGGGAACUGCAUUUGGGACUGCAAGGCUAGAGUGUGUCAGAGGGAGGUGGAAUUCCACGUGUAGCAGUGAAAUGCGUAGAUAUGUGGAGGAACAUCGAUGGCGAAGGCAGCCUCCUGGGAUAACACUGACGCUCAUGCACGAAAAGCGUGGGGAGCAAACAGGAUUAGAUACCCUGCUAGUCCACGCCCUAAACGAUGUCAACUAGUUGUCGGAGGAGAGAUUCUUUGGUAACGCAGCUAACGCGUGAAGUU
This 801-nucleotide ribosomal RNA is filed under the name uncultured bacterium. RNAcentral describes it as "bacterial SSU rRNA". It matches the Rfam family "Bacterial small subunit ribosomal RNA", at positions 67 to 866 of the family's 1533-position model. The record is from RNAcentral.